AAAAAAAGUCUGACCCCUGUGGUGUCAUUCCUGCCAAAACAGCUGGUGGAGACAAAUGUGACAAGCGAAUUGGACAAUUUCUACAAGGUCUCCCCAAAAGGAUCAAGAACCUUCAGCUGUGGUUUGGAAAACCAUGCAGCUCAAAUGAAGAGGGUGUGCUUUUAAAGUUCCCUGUGGGCCUAUGUAUGUGAUGAUUUACGAAGAGAGAGUCUGCUUACUGAACACAGUGUGCUAAUGCCUCUGUGGGAAACAACAACUCAUAGCUUCUUCCUAAAACCCAAGUGGUGUCACUAGCAUCUCCGGUCUCCUAGCCUGGGGAAAGUUUGCUUCCUGAGGAAGCCCUGGGUUGCGCCUCCUGAAGCUACGCUGCUCAACAGUGAGUGUCAGUUAUUGGCCUCAGGAGCCUGCACCCUCUGUGCCUUCUUACUGUGGUCAUGGGAGGUGCUGGGCCCUGGGCUCAUCUGGGCACACACUCCUUCCCAUUUUGCUUAUUGCUUCAACUUCCGCCAUCAGGAGCCUUCCUUUUUAACCCUUUGUUUGUUUGGUUGGUUUUUUUAUUUUUUGUUUUUUCGAGACAGGGUUUCUCUGUAUAGCCCUGGCUGUCCUGGAACUCACUCUGUAGACCAGGCUGGCCUCAGAAAUCCGCCUGCCUCUGCCUCCCAAGCUUUUUAACCCUUUUUAAACCCUUUCUAAAAAUAGACUUGUAUAUCUCCCUAACAAAUUCAAUCUUUGGCUAUCAUUCAAAGUCACUUUUAUUGUGAACAUUGCUUUCUGAUUCCAGUGGGUAGUGGCCAAGCAAGAGUAGACACAGGAUUUCAAACUUCCUGGGACCCUGUGGAGGCCCACUUUACUCUGAUGAACUCCCCACUGUGAUCAUGGCAGUUAUGGCAAUAGAAAAGUAAGAUAGAAACUGCACUCACUCCGAGAUGCCUUCUAACCUAUUAGACCGGCAAAGAAGAAAAAGGAAGUCUCAGAAGCCCCAAAACAGACUCAACAGACACUCAGAGGCUGUUAAGCAACUGAGCAAACUCCUGGAAAAGGAGUCUGACAUAAGAGAAUAAGAUCACAAGCUGGCAGAGGAGGAACUGAAACACUGCCACGUUCCACUUUGAAAGCACUGCAUUAGGUAUGGUUUUGCCACAGAAUAUCUGAAAUUCUAUUUGACAUAUGUGCGUUGAUGACUUCCUAAAUGGCAGGCACCUGCCAUGUGGCAUGUAGCCAAAACUGCUGUCUGUGACAUCUUCUGUCUCUACCCUGGCCUACUCAGGCCAAGCUGUUUCUCCCCCUGCUGGGAUGUUACUGUGCAAUCUCAUUUCCUGGGAAGAAGAGCCUUUGUUAUUUCUCUCUUGACAACUGUACUUUAACAUCAUUAAACCAUAUGCCUCAUGGAGGGAGAGAGAUAGACAUGCAAGUAUAGAUAGAUAGAUAGAUAGAUAGAUAGAUAGAUAGAUAGAUAGAUAGAAACAGAGAUAGAUAGAUAGAUAGUUAGAAAGAAAGAAGGAAAGAAAGAAAGAAGGAAAGAAAGAAAGAAAGAAAGAAAGAAAGAAAGAAAGAAAGAAAGAAAGAAAGAAAGAAAGAAAGAAGAGAGAUAGAUGACUAGAUAUAUUUGGGGCAAUUGUUCCAUUGUUUCCAUAUGCUUAACAUUGUUUCCAAUGUUAAAAAUCUAAAAAUGUUCAACAUCCUUA
This is a long non-coding RNA of Mus musculus (house mouse), 1685 nucleotides long. RefSeq annotates it as predicted gene, 30139. The transcript is spliced from 3 exons. The record is from RefSeq and is a predicted model, not a curated record. NCBI's taxonomy places the organism in Eukaryota, Metazoa, Chordata, Mammalia, Rodentia, Muridae.